AUAAAUGCACUGAUCGGGAAGAGUAAAUUCAAUUGAGAGUUAAAAGAGAAUUGUGCCGGCGGCUGAAAGCACAUAAUUUUUCAGUGAAUUGAAAACCACCCGGGAGCAGAUAGGAGGAAUUUAGUAUUUCUAUCCGGUUAAUCCGUUAUCUUGAUGAGUGAAUAAUAAUUUUAAUUAUUUUAUUAAAAUAGAAUGUUUAUAAUUAUUAUUAACUAGAGUGGAACCGCGCAAUCCGUCGUCUCUAUU
This 246-nucleotide non-coding RNA is filed under the name Halanaerobium kushneri. Its description in RNAcentral is "T-box sequence". It matches the Rfam family "T-box leader". Rfam says of the family: Uncharged tRNA acts as the effector for transcription antitermination of genes in the T-box leader family. T-boxes are found upstream of many aminoacyl-tRNA synthetase genes and some amino acid biosynthetic genes usually in Gram-positive bacteria. The record is from RNAcentral. Lineage: Bacteria; Bacillati; Bacillota; Clostridia; Halanaerobiales; Halanaerobiaceae.